This is a long non-coding RNA of Gallus gallus (chicken), 307 nucleotides long. Lineage: Eukaryota; Metazoa; Chordata; Aves; Galliformes; Phasianidae. The record is from Ensembl.
AAAGAAAUGAGAAGCUGCACUGAGUUACCAUCUACCAUGUUUUAGCCACAUCCUGCAGUGGAACUUGACCAUGAGAGCCAGCCUGAUAUGUGCAAAAACAGGUGGAAAAUGUUCUCUGAGCUCCUGCAUUUGAGAAGCCAUUUUCCAGCUCUUGGCAUUCAUGCUGUUAAAAGAAGAGUUCCAGCUACCACUGGCAGGGUGAUGUGUGACCUUCAUGUCUUCCUGAGCGUACCACCUGCAUAUUUCAUUAACUACACAGGUUUUGGCAUCCUGCGGAGGAACAAAUUGCCUUUUUUUUCCCAACACG